RNAcentral lists this ribosomal RNA (432 nucleotides) under Mesembrina meridiana. RNAcentral's name for it is "partial 16S ribosomal RNA". The record is from RNAcentral. Lineage: Eukaryota; Metazoa; Arthropoda; Insecta; Diptera; Muscidae.
AUUAAAUGGCCGCAGUAUAUUAACUGUGCAAAGGUAGCAUAAUCAUUAGUCUUUUAAUUGAAGGCUGGAAUGAAUGGUUGGACGAGAUAUUAACUGUUUCAUGAAGAUUUAUAUUAGAAUUUUAUUUUUUAGUUAAAAAGCUAAAAUAUAAUUAAAAGACGAGAAGACCCUAUAAAUCUUUAUAUUUAUAUUAUUAUUAUUUUGUGGAUUUUUUUUAUUAUAAUAAUUAAUAAUAUUUUAUUGGGGUGAUAUUAAAAUUUAAUAAACUUUUAAUUAUUUUUAUCAUUAAUUAAUGAUUAAUUGAUCCGUUAUUAACGAUUAUAAAUUUAAGUUACUUUAGGGAUAACAGCGUAAUUUUUUUGGAGAGUUCUUAUCGAUAAAAAAGAUUGCGACCUCGAUGUUGGAUUAAGAGAUAUAUUUUGGUGUAGCUGC